Molecule: ribosomal RNA, 398 nt
Filed under: uncultured bacterium
Lineage: Bacteria
Description: bacterial SSU rRNA
Rfam family: Bacterial small subunit ribosomal RNA
Source: RNAcentral
AUUGAACGCUGGCGGCGUGCUUAACACAUGCAAGUCGAGCGGUAAGGCCCUUUCGGGGGUACACGAGCGGCGAACGGGUGAGUAACACGUGGGUGACCUGCCCUCAGCUCUGGGAUAAGCCUGGGAAACCGGGUCUAAUACCGGAUAUGACUCCAUGACGCAUGUUGUGGGGUGGAAAGCCUUGUGCGGCUGAGGAUGGGCCCGCGGCCUAUCAGCUUGUUGGUGGGGUGAGGCCUACCAAGGCGACGACGGGUAGCCGGCCUGAGAGGGCGACCGGCCACACUGGGACUGAGACACGGCCCAGACUCCUACGGGAGGCAGCAGUGGGGAAUCUUGCGCAAUGGGCGAAAGCCUGACGCAGCGACGCCGCGUGAGGGAUGACGGCCUGUGUAACUCUU